Molecule: microRNA precursor, 82 nt
Filed under: Jaculus jaculus (lesser Egyptian jerboa)
Lineage: Eukaryota; Metazoa; Chordata; Mammalia; Rodentia; Dipodidae
Description: miRNA (ENSJJAG00000006720.1)
Source: RNAcentral
GUUCCAUCCCCAACACCUCACAAAGCAGUCAUAGUGGAGGAUGCCCGUAACUCCAGCACUGGGGAGGUAGAGGCAGGAGGAU